RNAcentral lists this ribosomal RNA (640 nucleotides) under Blastomussa merleti. Its description in RNAcentral is "eukaryotic LSU rRNA". It matches the Rfam family "Eukaryotic large subunit ribosomal RNA", at positions 65 to 1451 of the family's 3401-position model. Lineage: Eukaryota; Metazoa; Cnidaria; Anthozoa; Scleractinia; Plerogyridae. The record is from RNAcentral.
CUAACAAGGAUUCCCUCAGUAACGGCGAGUGAAGCGGGAAAGGCUCAAAUUUGAAAUCUCCGGUGCUUGCACCGGCGAGUUGUAUUUGCGAGAAGCACCUUCUAGGUGGACCGGCCUGGCCUAAGUUGCUUGGAACAGCAUGUCGCAGAGGGUGACAACCCCGUCCGUGGCAGGGCCGGCCGCCGACGAUGUGCUUUCGAAGAGUCGGGUUGCUUGGGAAUGCAGCCCAAAAUGGGUGGUAAACUCCAUCUAAAGCUAAAUAUUGGCGUGAGACCGAUAGCGAAGGAAACGAAUGGGCUCAGCAAUGCGCCUUCUUGAGAUUCAGCCGGCGGGCGCGGCCGUCGCCGGGUUCUGCGGAUCCGAACGGACCGCGGCUCGGUGCUCGGUCGUCCCGGCCGUCGCACUUCUCUUGGGCGCGCGUCAACGUCGGUUGGGACUGAGUGUGAAAGGUGUCGGGAAGGUAGGGUCGGACCUCCGGUCCGGUCUGUUAGAGCCCGGCUCUGUCUCGGCUCGGGCCCGACCGAGGAGUGGCAGCGCAUGCCUCCUGUGGCUAGAGUGCCCUCCUUCCGGCCGGUCGUCGACCGCGGUGGACUGCUUGCCAGUGCUCCGCAACCGCGGCCGGUCGUUGGGGCGGUGAUCU